This 582-nucleotide ribosomal RNA is filed under the name Tetra pinnatifidae. RNAcentral describes it as "partial 28S ribosomal RNA". Lineage: Eukaryota; Metazoa; Arthropoda; Arachnida; Trombidiformes; Eriophyidae. The record is from RNAcentral.
AAAUAGAACUUUGCAGAGAGAGUUAACAGGGCGUGAAACCGUUGAUUGGCAAACGAAUCGGAGCCACGAAGUCGUUUCGUUGUUAGUUGGGCGGAGUUCAGUUCGCGCCGAAAGACGCGGGCGUAUUCUCACGCUCAUCCAACCUUGUGAGCGUACACUGCAACUUGUUAGACGAUCAGCUGUGGGCUGAGUGACGCAGAGCGAGCAAUCGCGCUGCGGCACGCAUUGUCUGUUCGCUCGCGGUAGUAGUAGCGCAGCUGACUUCAGUCUUUUUGUGUUGCUGGCCGCGUGGCGGGUGAACUACAGCUGAAUACUGACAAGCGAAAUGAAAACCGUUGAAAAACGUUAGAGAAAAAGCGGUUGGUCACAUGGAUGUUUACACGUUCGACUGUUAGGUCUAAGCUUGGCAUUUUUGAAUUCAGACCUGCUUGCUACCAGUGGGGCAACUCCUGGUGCUUGUACGGCUUCUGUCUAAUCGGGUGUCGACUUGGCUUGGCAUCGUUCGGGCGUGAAACGAUUGAGCGUUCAUAUGAACUAAUCCGCAAUUUAAAUUGGCAGUGAGUAGGUCGGCUUUCCGAACGA